This 578-nucleotide ribosomal RNA is filed under the name uncultured bacterium. RNAcentral describes it as "bacterial SSU rRNA". It matches the Rfam family "Bacterial small subunit ribosomal RNA", at positions 74 to 649 of the family's 1533-position model. The record is from RNAcentral.
AGGUCUUCGGAUGCUGACGAGUGGCGAACGGGUGAGUAAUACAUCGGAACGUGCCUAGUAGUGGGGGAUAACUACUCGAAAGAGUAGCUAAUACCGCAUGAGAUCUACGGAUGAAAGCAGGGGACCUUCGGGCCUUGUGCUACUAGAGCGGCUGAUGGCAGAUUAGGUAGUUGGUGGGGUAAAGGCUUACCAAGCCUGCGAUCUGUAGCUGGUCUGAGAGGACGACCAGCCACACUGGGACUGAGACACGGCCCAGACUCCUACGGGAGGCAGCAGUGGGAAAUUUUGGACAAGGGGCGAAAGCCUGAUCCAGCAAUGCCGCGUGCAGGAUGAAGGCCCUCGGGUUGUAAACUGCUUUUGUACGGAACGAAAAGCCUGGGGCUAAUACCCCCGGGUCAUGACGGUACCGUAAGAAUAAGCACCGGCUAACUACGUGCCAGCAGCCGCGGUAAUACGGAGGAUCCAAGCGUUAUCCGGAAUCAUUGGGUUUAAAGGGUCCGUAGGCGGUUUAGUAAGUCAGUGGUGAAAGCCCAUCGCUCAACGGUGGAACGGCCAUUGAUACUGCUAAACUUGAAUUA